This 490-nucleotide ribosomal RNA is filed under the name uncultured bacterium. RNAcentral's name for it is "partial 16S ribosomal RNA". It matches the Rfam family "Bacterial small subunit ribosomal RNA", at positions 30 to 507 of the family's 1533-position model. The record is from RNAcentral.
AUUGAACGCUGGCGGCAGGCCUAACACAUGCAAGUCGAACGGUAACAGGAAGAAGCUUGCUUCUUUGCUGACGAGUGGCGGACGGGUGAGUAAUGUCUGGGAAACUGCCUGAUGGAGGGGGAUAACUACUGGAAACGGUAGCUAAUACCGCAUAACGUCGCAAGACCAAAGAGGGGGACCUUCGGGCCUCUUGCCAUCGGAUGUGCCCAGAUGGGAUUCGCCAGUAGGUGGGGUAACGGCUCACCUAGGCGACGAUCCCUAGCUGGUCUGAGAGGAUGACCAGCCACACUGGAACUGAGACACGGUCCAGACUCCUACGGGAGGCAGCAGUGGGGAAUAUUGCACAAUGGGCGCAAGCCUGAUGCAGCCAUGCCGCGUGUAUGAAGAAGGCCUUCGGGUUGUAAAGUACUUUCAGCGGGGAGGAAGGGAGUAAAGUUAAUACCUUUGCUCAUUGACGUUACCCGCAGAAGAAGCACCGGCUAACUCCGUG